RNA transcript from Ricinus communis (castor bean), 2099 nucleotides. It is a transcript of the gene named protein SYM1, with no coding region annotated. The transcript is spliced from 5 exons. Lineage: Eukaryota; Viridiplantae; Streptophyta; Magnoliopsida; Malpighiales; Euphorbiaceae. The record is from RefSeq and is a predicted model, not a curated record.
GAUCUUAACUUGUCUACCAAUUCUUAGUUUCUGGCUCUUUAGGGCUUUGAGCCCUAUUGGUUUUAUGUGUUUAGUCUGUCUAGGCCUAUAUAUUAUUUGUACUUCAUUCAAGUUAUACUGAGCGGGGCUUUGAAGCCACAUUACUACCAGUUGAUUUCCUUCCGACCAAAAAAAAAGGGUCACUUACAAAUAAAGUUUAGCCUUGGGCCCGUUGCGGACUCUCUCUCGCUCGCGAAUCCUACGAUUUUUCUCUUUUCUGCGCGUAGCGUUUGACACUUGAGAGCUCCCGACGCUAAAAAACGAGAGAAACUCUUUCCUUCAUUUCUUCUCUUCAAUCAAAAUGAGCAGCAUUUCUUCAGUGAGAAAUAUUAUUAGCAAACGCUGCCUCUAUAACCAUUCAACUCAACAAUGGAGAUUCUACCCUCAUCAGUUCACCAAUACAAAAAUACCCAAACGCUCUCCUUCUUCUCUCUCGCAUUCCUUUUCUACAUUUACACCGAAAUCUAAAGUCGGGUUUAUAGAAUGGUAUUUGGGGAAACUCAAUUCUCGCCCAAUUCUCACCAAAACUAUCACAACUUCUCUUAUCUUCGCCGCUGCUGAUUUCACCGCCCAGAUGCUAUCAUCUUCUUCUUCAUUUGACUUAAUAAGAACGACACGCAUGGCUGCAUAUGGACUAGUAUUAUUAGGACCAUCACAGCACAUAUGGUUCAAUCUUAUGUCAAAAGCUUUCCCAAAGCGUGAUGUCUUCUCUACCUUGAAGAAGACUUUUAUGGGACAGGCUCUUUAUGGACCUGCUAAUGCCAGUGUUUUCUUCUCCUACAAUGCUGCCCUGCAAGGUGAAAGUGGUGAUGAGAUUGCUGCUAGAUUGAAGCGUGAUGUGCUCCCCACGUUGAGAAAUGGUCUUAUGUACUGGCCAAUUUGCGAUUUCUUUACAUAUAAAUUUGUUCCAGUUCAUCUCCAGCCAUUGGUGAACAGUACCUGUUCUUUUUUUUGGACAAUCUAUUUAACAUACAUGGCAAGCUUACAAAAAGUGGGAACCACGAGUAUACUGUAGCUCAAUAAAGAGAGGAACCUCACAAUUUUACCAUCUUCCUGGUUCUAGAUUAAUCAUUAUUGUUCAAUUUCUAGUUAUUGGUGGGAACAGAAGUUACUUGAAACAGGGACAAGCAAAGAGCUGCUGACUGGAACUAAGGGACAUAUAUGGGAAAAAGUGAACAAAAUCAUCUACCAUCACCGACUGAUGAAACGACACGGUCCUUCAUACUAUCGUCUGCAGCACUUGCACUACUGACAUUACCAUGACCCAAAUCGUUGGAGUUUUGACUAAGCAAGUACUCUGUCUCUUCUGGAUUCACCUGAAACCAUGAAUGAACCUCCAUCUUUCGCAGGCCCUCUAAUUCUGUUGCAACUUCCUUCAUACUAGGCCUCUCCUCCCCCUUCACUGUUAAGCACCUUACUGCAAGCCUUGCCACCUCCUCGAUCUGUUGUUUGUUUUUUUUAUUUACUAUACGACUAUCAAGAAUCCCAAACAGUUCUCGCUUUCUCGCAGAAGAAAGAAAGCACAUUGCCAGACUUCUCUCUUCCUCAGGACGAUCAAAAGAAAGUGCUUUCAUGCUUGUUAGUAGCUCGACAAGGACUACUCCGAAGCUAUAGACAUCACUCUUGUCCGUCAAGAGAUUUGUAUGCAAGUAUUCUGGAUCCAAAUAUCCCCAAGUUCCUUGCACCAUUGUUGAUAACUGUGUUUCAUCAACCGGGACUAGCCUUGAAGCUCCAAAAUCAGAUACUUUUGCCAUGUGAGUAGCAUCUAAGAGGAUGUUGGUAGUUUUGAUAUCUCUGUGAAUGAUUGGGACUGAAGCUGCAGAAUGCAAAUAGGAGAGUGCUUCCGCAGUUUCCGCUACUAUCCUGAGACGAGUAUCCCAAGAAAGGGCUGAUCCGUUGCUUUGGUUGUGGAUGUAGUCAAAGAGUGUACCAUUGGUGAUGAACUCAUAGACUAGUAGAGGAACUUGUCUCUAAACAGCAGCCCAAGAGCUUGACCACAUUUCUAUGGUUAAUUUGAGACAGCACGACUACCUCAUUAAUGAAUUGCUCAAUUUGGUUUU